This 429-nucleotide ribosomal RNA is filed under the name Actinomycetes bacterium. RNAcentral's name for it is "Actinobacteria bacterium partial 16S ribosomal RNA". It matches the Rfam family "Bacterial small subunit ribosomal RNA", at positions 355 to 776 of the family's 1533-position model. Lineage: Bacteria; Bacillati; Actinomycetota; Actinomycetes. The record is from RNAcentral.
UAGGGAAUCUUCCGCAAUGUGCGAAAGCCUGACGGAGCAACGCCGCGUGAGUGAUGAAGGUCUUCGGAUCGUAAAACUCUGUUAUUAGGGAAGAACAAAUGUGUAAGUAACUAUGCACGUCUUGACGGUACCUAAUCAGAAAGCCACGGCUAACUACGUGCCAGCAGCCGCGGUAAUACGUAGGUGGCAAGCGUUAUCCGGAAUUAUUGGGCGUAAAGCGCGCGUAGGCGGUUUUUUAAGUCUGAUGUGAAAGCCCACGGCUCAACCGUGGAGGGUCAUUGGAAACUGGAAAACUUGAGUGCAGAAGAGGAAAGUGGAAUUCCAUGUGUAGCGGUGAAAUGCGCAGAGAUAUGGGGGAACACCAGUGGCGAAGGCGACUUUCUGGUCUGUAACUGACGCUGAUGUGCGAAAGCGUGGGGAUCAAACAGG